GAAAGUUUUAUUUUUGCUUUAUAUUAGGUAAUUUUAUUUUUUAAAUAUAUUUUUGUUGAUUAAUUGAUUGUAUUAUAUAAAUUUAUUUAAACUAAAAAUUUAGGUGAAAGAAAUAAAAAUUAAAAGUAGCUAAAAUUGUGCCAGCAGCUGCGGUUAAACAAUUGUUUUAAUUUAAUAUAAUUUAAAUUUUAAGAAUUUGAUUAAAAAUAUAAAAUAUUUAUUUUAAGUGAAAUUUAAUAAAUAAAAGUUUAAUUGUUAAUUAAUUAAUUAAAAAAAAUAAGGUAGUCAAACCAGGAUUAGAUACCCUGUUAUGAUUUAUAAAAAUAAAAAUUUAGAGUAGUAAAUGUUAAGUUCAGGAAACUCAAAAAAUUUGGCGGUGUUUAUUCUGAAUAGAGGAAUAUGUUUCUAAUCGAUAAUACACGUUUAUUCGACUUAUUUUAAUUUAUUUUGUAUACUUCCGUCUUAAAAAAUUUUUUUAAAAUAAAUUUUAUAAUUUUUUAAUAAAAAAAGUCAGGUCAAAGUGCAGAUUAUAAAUAAGAAAAAAUGUAUUACAAUAAAUUUAUUUAUGGAAAUUUAAUGAAAAAAUAUGAAAAAUUGGAUUUAUAAGUAAAUUAGAUUUUAUAAAGUUUAAUUGAAAAAGUUAAUAAGCAUGUACAUAUUGCCCGUCAUUCUCUUUAAGAGACAAGUCGUAACAAAGUAGAUUUACUGGAAAGUGAAUCUGGAUUCAA
RNAcentral lists this non-coding RNA (728 nucleotides) under Hemicaecilius mockfordi. Lineage: Eukaryota; Metazoa; Arthropoda; Insecta; Psocodea; Sphaeropsocidae. The record is from RNAcentral.